Molecule: long non-coding RNA, 489 nt
Filed under: Nicotiana benthamiana
Lineage: Eukaryota; Viridiplantae; Streptophyta; Magnoliopsida; Solanales; Solanaceae
Description: long non-coding RNA (NBEN_LNC038081)
Source: RNAcentral
GCAAAUGCAUUAAUAGGAUAUGUAUUUGGUGAUAAUCCAAAUGCUAAAAUGAUGGAGAAUUUUGUGAUGCAUGUUUGGAACUUUGUGUCCAAACCUCAGAUUCUGUUGCAUGCUGAAGGCUACUGUAUAUUUCGGUUCAAUAGCAAAGAGGAUAAAGAGAUGGUUAUGCAAUCAGGGCCAUACUCGUUCUAUGGUGCUGAAACCAUGGGAGAUUGAUUUUUCCUUUCAAAAUGAUGUUCUCAGCACUGUACCUGUAUGGAUCAGAUUCCCUGGCCUUCCAGUGGGCUAUUGGUCUGUUGAUGUUCUGAGCAAAUUGGUCAGUGCAGUGGGCAAACCACUGUACACAGAUAAAUUCACUGCACAUUAUGAGAAAAUCUCUUUUGCGAGAGUUUUAGUAGAAGUUGAUGCUGCUUAUCCUUUACCUGACCAGGUUGAAAUGGAAACUCCUUUUGGUAUGAAAGUGCAAGAGAUUGAAUAUGAUUGGAAACC